GACGAACGCUGGCGGCGUGCUUAACACAUGCAAGUCGAACGGAAAGGCCCUGCUUUUGUGGGGUGCUCGAGUGGCGAACGGGUGAGUAACACGUGAGUAACCUGCCCUUGACUUUGGGAUAACUUCAGGAAACUGGGGCUAAUACCGGAUAGGAGCUCCUGCUGCAUGGUGGGGGUUGGAAAGUUUCGGCGGUUGGGGAUGGACUCGCGGCUUAUCAGCUUGUUGGUGGGGUAGUGGCUUACCAAGGCUUUGACGGGUAGCCGGCCUGAGAGGGUGACCGGCCACAUUGGGACUGAGAUACGGCCCAGACUCCUACGGGAGGCAGCAGGGGGGAAUAUUGCACAAUGGGCGGAAGCCUGAUACAGCAACGCCGCGUGCGGGAUGACGGCCUUCGGGUUGUAAACCGCUUUCGCCUGUGACGAAGCGUGAGUGACGGUAAUGGGUAAAGAAGCACCGGCUAACUACGUG
RNAcentral lists this ribosomal RNA (468 nucleotides) under uncultured bacterium. RNAcentral's name for it is "partial 16S ribosomal RNA". It matches the Rfam family "Bacterial small subunit ribosomal RNA", at positions 28 to 507 of the family's 1533-position model. The record is from RNAcentral.